Small nuclear RNA from Cervus hanglu yarkandensis (Yarkand deer), 138 nucleotides. Its record names the gene U4. It matches the Rfam family "U4 spliceosomal RNA". From Rfam's summary of the family: U4 small nuclear RNA (U4 snRNA) is a component of the major U2-dependent spliceosome. The structure of U4 snRNA from yeast and human has been reported. The record is from Ensembl. NCBI's taxonomy places the organism in Eukaryota, Metazoa, Chordata, Mammalia, Artiodactyla, Cervidae.
AGCUUUGCGCAGUGGCAGUAUCAUAGUCAAUGAGGUUUAUCCGAGGCGUGAUUAUUGCUAAUUGAAAACUUUUCCCAAAGAAACAUGACAAUGUAAACAUAUGUUGUAUACAUCGUGUGCCAUAAACCCCAGCUGUUU